CCUACGGGAGGCAGCAGUGGGGAAUAUUGCACAAUGGGGGAAACCCUGAUGCAGCGACGCCGCGUGAGUGAAGAAGGAUUUCGGUAUGUAAAGCUCUGUCAGCAGGGAAGAAAAUGACGGUACCUGACCAAGAAGCCCCGGCUAACUACGUGCCAGCAGCCGCGGUAAUACGUAGGGGGCAAGCGUUAUCCGGAUGUACUGGGUGUAAAGGGAGCGUAGACGGCAGGGCAAGUCUGGAGGGAAAGGCGGGGGCUCAACCCCCGGACUGCUCUGGAAACUGCCAGGCUGGAGUGCAGGAGAGGUACGUGGAAUGCCCGGUGUAGCGGUGAAAUGCGUAGAUAUUAGGAGGAACACCAGUGGCGAAGGCGGCUUACUGGACUGUAACUGACGUUGAGGCUCGAAAGCGUGGGGAGCAAACAGGAUUAGAUACCCGAGUAGUC
Molecule: ribosomal RNA, 440 nt
Filed under: uncultured bacterium
Lineage: Bacteria
Description: partial 16S ribosomal RNA
Rfam family: Bacterial small subunit ribosomal RNA
Source: RNAcentral